CCUACGGGAGGCAGCAGUAGGGAAUCUUCCACAAUGGGCGCAAGCCUGAUGGAGCAACACCGCGUGAGUGAAGAAGGGUUUCGGCUCGUAAAGCUCUGUUGUUGGAGAAGAACGUGCGUGAGAGUAACUAUUCACGCAGUGACGGUAUCCAACCAGAAAGUCACGGCUAACUACGUGCCAGCAGCCGCGGUAAUACGUAGGUGGCAAGCGUUAUCCGGAUUUAUUGGGCGUAAAGCGAGCGCAGGCGGUUGUUUAGGUCUGAUGUGAAAGCCUUCGGCUUAACCGAAGAAGUGCAUCGGAAACCGGGCGACUUGAGUGCAGAAGAGGACAGUGGAACUCCAUGUGUAGCGGUGGAAUGCGUAGAUAUAUGGAAGAACACCAGUGGCGAAGGCGGCUGUCUGGUCUGCAACUGACGCUGAGGCUCGAAAGCAUGGGUAGCGAACAGGAUUAGAUACCCCGGUAGUC
RNAcentral lists this ribosomal RNA (465 nucleotides) under uncultured Lactobacillus sp. RNAcentral describes it as "bacterial SSU rRNA". It matches the Rfam family "Bacterial small subunit ribosomal RNA", at positions 338 to 795 of the family's 1533-position model. The record is from RNAcentral. Lineage: Bacteria; Bacillati; Bacillota; Bacilli; Lactobacillales; Lactobacillaceae.